GAGUUUGAUCCUGGCUCAGAUUGAACGCUGGCGGAAUGCUUUACACAUGCAAGUCGAACGGCAGCAUAGAGAGCUUGCUCUCUGAUGGCGAGUGGCGAACGGGUGAGUAAUAUAUCGGAACGUGCCUAGUAAUGGGGAAUAACUAGCUGAAAGGUUAGCUAAUGCCGCAUACGACCUACGGGUGAAAGCAGGGGAUCUUCGGACCUUGCGUUAUUAGAGCGGCCGAUAUCUGAUUAGCUUGUUGGUGGGGUAAUGGCCUACCAAGGCGACGAUCAGUAGCUGGUCUGAGAGGACGAUCAGCCACACUGGAACUGAGACACGGUCCAGACUCCUACGGGAGGCAGCAGUGGGGAAUUUUGGACAAUGGGGGCAACCCUGAUCCAGCCAUUCCGCGUGAGUGAAGAAGGCCUUCGGGUUGUAAAGCUCUUUCGCAAGAGAAGAAAACUUUCUAUCUAAUAAAUAGUAAGUAUGACGGUAUCUUGACAAGAAGCACCGGCUAACUACGUGCCAGCAGCCGCGGUAAUACGUAGGGUGCAAGCGUUAAUCGGAAUUACUGGGCGUAAAGCGUGCGCAGGCAGUUUUAUAAGUCAGAUGUGAAAUCCCCGAGCUCAACUUGGGAACUGCGUUUGAAACUAUAAGACUAGAGUGUGUCAGAGGGGGGUAGAAUUCCAAGUGUAGCAGUGAAAU
Molecule: ribosomal RNA, 687 nt
Filed under: uncultured bacterium
Lineage: Bacteria
Description: bacterial SSU rRNA
Rfam family: Bacterial small subunit ribosomal RNA
Source: RNAcentral